RNAcentral lists this ribosomal RNA (116 nucleotides) under Pteropus alecto (black flying fox). The record is from RNAcentral. Lineage: Eukaryota; Metazoa; Chordata; Mammalia; Chiroptera; Pteropodidae.
GUCUACGGCCAUGCCACCCUGAACAAGCCUGAUGUCUGAUCUUGGAAGCUAAUCAGGGUCGGGCCUGGUUAGUACUUGGAUGGGAGACCACCUAGGAAGACCAGGUGCUGUAGGCA